RNAcentral lists this ribosomal RNA (2902 nucleotides) under Escherichia coli. RNAcentral describes it as "bacterial LSU rRNA". It matches the Rfam family "Bacterial large subunit ribosomal RNA". RNAcentral also lists the same sequence under 1 other name. The record is from RNAcentral. Lineage: Bacteria; Pseudomonadati; Pseudomonadota; Gammaproteobacteria; Enterobacterales; Enterobacteriaceae.
UUAAGCGACUAAGCGUACACGGUGGAUGCCCUGGCAGUCAGAGGCGAUGAAGGACGUGCUAAUCUGCGAUAAGCGUCGGUAAGGUGAUAUGAACCGUUAUAACCGGCGAUUUCCGAAUGGGGAAACCCAGUGUGAUUCGUCACACUAUCAUUAACUGAAUCCAUAGGUUAAUGAGGCGAACCGGGGGAACUGAAACAUCUAAGUACCCCGAGGAAAAGAAAUCAACCGAGAUUCCCCCAGUAGCGGCGAGCGAACGGGGAGCAGCCCAGAGCCUGAAUCAGUGUGUGUGUUAGUGGAAGCGUCUGGAAAGGCGCGCGAUACAGGGUGACAGCCCCGUACACAAAAAUGCACAUGCUGUGAGCUCGAUGAGUAGGGCGGGACACGUGGUAUCCUGUCUGAAUAUGGGGGGACCAUCCUCCAAGGCUAAAUACUCCUGACUGACCGAUAGUGAACCAGUACCGUGAGGGAAAGGCGAAAAGAACCCCGGCGAGGGGAGUGAAAAAGAACCUGAAACCGUGUACGUACAAGCAGUGGGAGCACGCUUAGGCGUGUGACUGCGUACCUUUUGUAUAAUGGGUCAGCGACUUAUAUUCUGUAGCAAGGUUAACCGAAUAGGGGAGCCGAAGGGAAACCGAGUCUUAACUGGGCGUUAAGUUGCAGGGUAUAGACCCGAAACCCGGUGAUCUAGCCAUGGGCAGGUUGAAGGUUGGGUAACACUAACUGGAGGACCGAACCGACUAAUGUUGAAAAAUUAGCGGAUGACUUGUGGCUGGGGGUGAAAGGCCAAUCAAACCGGGAGAUAGCUGGUUCUCCCCGAAAGCUAUUUAGGUAGCGCCUCGUGAAUUCAUCUCCGGGGGUAGAGCACUGUUUCGGCAAGGGGGUCAUCCCGACUUACCAACCCGAUGCAAACUGCGAAUACCGGAGAAUGUUAUCACGGGAGACACACGGCGGGUGCUAACGUCCGUCGUGAAGAGGGAAACAACCCAGACCGCCAGCUAAGGUCCCAAAGUCAUGGUUAAGUGGGAAACGAUGUGGGAAGGCCCAGACAGCCAGGAUGUUGGCUUAGAAGCAGCCAUCAUUUAAAGAAAGCGUAAUAGCUCACUGGUCGAGUCGGCCUGCGCGGAAGAUGUAACGGGGCUAAACCAUGCACCGAAGCUGCGGCAGCGACGCUGAUGCGUUGUUGGGUAGGGGAGCGUUCUGUAAGCCUGCGAAGGUGUGCUGUGAGGCAUGCUGGAGGUAUCAGAAGUGCGAAUGCUGACAUAAGUAACGAUAAAGCGGGUGAAAAGCCCGCUCGCCGGAAGACCAAGGGUUCCUGUCCAACGUUAAUCGGGGCAGGGUGAGUCGACCCCUAAGGCGAGGCCGAAAGGCGUAGUCGAUGGGAAACAGGUUAAUAUUCCUGUACUUGGUGUUACUGCGAAGGGGGGACGGAGAAGGCUAUGUUGGCCGGGCGACGGUUGUCCCGGUUUAAGCGUGUAGGCUGGUUUUCCAGGCAAAUCCGGAAAAUCAAGGCUGAGGCGUGAUGACGAGGCACUACGGUGCUGAAGCAACAAAUGCCCUGCUUCCAGGAAAAGCCUCUAAGCAUCAGGUAACAUCAAAUCGUACCCCAAACCGACACAGGUGGUCAGGUAGAGAAUACCAAGGCGCUUGAGAGAACUCGGGUGAAGGAACUAGGCAAAAUGGUGCCGUAACUUCGGGAGAAGGCACGCUGAUAUGUAGGUGAAGUCCCUCGCGGAUGGAGCUGAAAUCAGUCGAAGAUACCAGCUGGCUGCAACUGUUUAUUAAAAACACAGCACUGUGCAAACACGAAAGUGGACGUAUACGGUGUGACGCCUGCCCGGUGCCGGAAGGUUAAUUGAUGGGGUCAGCGCAAGCGAAGCUCUUGAUCGAAGCCCCGGUAAACGGCGGCCGUAACUAUAACGGUCCUAAGGUAGCGAAAUUCCUUGUCGGGUAAGUUCCGACCUGCACGAAUGGCGUAAUGAUGGCCAGGCUGUCUCCACCCGAGACUCAGUGAAAUUGAACUCGCUGUGAAGAUGCAGUGUACCCGCGGCAAGACGGAAAGACCCCGUGAACCUUUACUAUAGCUUGACACUGAACAUUGAGCCUUGAUGUGUAGGAUAGGUGGGAGGCUUUGAAGUGUGGACGCCAGUCUGCAUGGAGCCGACCUUGAAAUACCACCCUUUAAUGUUUGAUGUUCUAACGUUGACCCGUAAUCCGGGUUGCGGACAGUGUCUGGUGGGUAGUUUGACUGGGGCGGUCUCCUCCUAAAGAGUAACGGAGGAGCACGAAGGUUGGCUAAUCCUGGUCGGACAUCAGGAGGUUAGUGCAAUGGCAUAAGCCAGCUUGACUGCGAGCGUGACGGCGCGAGCAGGUGCGAAAGCAGGUCAUAGUGAUCCGGUGGUUCUGAAUGGAAGGGCCAUCGCUCAACGGAUAAAAGGUACUCCGGGGAUAACAGGCUGAUACCGCCCAAGAGUUCAUAUCGACGGCGGUGUUUGGCACCUCGAUGUCGGCUCAUCACAUCCUGGGGCUGAAGUAGGUCCCAAGGGUAUGGCUGUUCGCCAUUUAAAGUGGUACGCGAGCUGGGUUUAGAACGUCGUGAGACAGUUCGGUCCCUAUCUGCCGUGGGCGCUGGAGAACUGAGGGGGGCUGCUCCUAGUACGAGAGGACCGGAGUGGACGCAUCACUGGUGUUCGGGUUGUCAUGCCAAUGGCACUGCCCGGUAGCUAAAUGCGGAAGAGAUAAGUGCUGAAAGCAUCUAAGCACGAAACUUGCCCCGAGAUGAGUUCUCCCUGACUCCUUGAGAGUCCUGAAGGAACGUUGAAGACGACGACGUUGAUAGGCCGGGUGUGUAAGCGCAGCGAUGCGUUGAGCUAACCGGUACUAAUGAACCGUGAGGCUUAACCUU